CCUACGGGAGGCUGCAGUGAGGAAUAUUGGUCAAUGGUCGGGAGCCUGAACCAGCCAAGCCGCGUGAGGGAUGAAGGUACAGAGUAUCGUAAACCUCUUUUGUCAGGGAACAAAGGCGGGGACGUGUCCCCGGAUGAGUGUACCUGAAGAAAAAGCAUCGGCUAACUCCGUGCCAGCAGCCGCGGUAAUACGGAGGAUGCGAGCGUUAUCCGGUUUUAUUGGGUUUAAAGGGUGCGCAGGCGGUCUGUUAAGUCAGCGGUCAAAGCCCGGGGCUCAACCCCGGCCCGCCGUUGAAACUGGCAGUCUCGAGUUGGAGAGAGGUAGGCGGAAUGCGUGGUGUAGCGGUGAAAUGCAUAGAUAUCGCGCAGAACUCCGAUUGCGAAGGCAGCAUGCCGGCUCCACACUGACGCUGGGGCACGAAAGCGUGGGUAUCGAACAGGAUUAGAUACCCGAGUAGUC
RNAcentral lists this ribosomal RNA (459 nucleotides) under uncultured bacterium. Its description in RNAcentral is "partial 16S ribosomal RNA". It matches the Rfam family "Bacterial small subunit ribosomal RNA", at positions 338 to 795 of the family's 1533-position model. The record is from RNAcentral.